ACGGGCCCGCACAAGCAGCGGAGCGUUGUGGUUUAAUUCGAUGCUACACGAAGAACCUUACCAGGGUUUGACAUACAAGUGGUAGAGAAGCGAAAGCGGACCGACCCUUCGGGGAGCUUGUACAGGUGCUGCAUGGCUGUCGUCAGCUCGUGUCGUGAGAUGUUCGGUUAAGUCCGCUAACGAGCGCAACCCUCGCUGUGUGUUACAAGUGUCACACGGAACUGCCGGUCAUAAACCGGAGGAAGGUGGGGAUGACGUCAAGUCAGCAUGGCCUUUAUAGGUGGGGCUACACACGUCAUACAAUGGCUGGUACAAAGGGUUGCCAACCCGCGAGGGGGAGCUAAUCCCAUAAAGCCAGUCGUAGUCCGGAUCGCAGUCUGCAACUCGACUGCGUGAAGUCGGAAUCGCUAGUAAUCGUGGAUCAGAAUGUCACGGUGAAUACGUUCCCGGGUCUU
Molecule: ribosomal RNA, 455 nt
Filed under: uncultured Anaerolineaceae bacterium
Lineage: Bacteria; Bacillati; Chloroflexota; Anaerolineae; Anaerolineales; Anaerolineaceae
Description: bacterial SSU rRNA
Rfam family: Bacterial small subunit ribosomal RNA
Source: RNAcentral